This 477-nucleotide ribosomal RNA is filed under the name Glyptoplax pugnax. RNAcentral's name for it is "partial 16S large subunit ribosomal RNA". It matches the Rfam family "Bacterial large subunit ribosomal RNA", at positions 1809 to 2597 of the family's 2925-position model. The record is from RNAcentral. Lineage: Eukaryota; Metazoa; Arthropoda; Malacostraca; Decapoda; Panopeidae.
AAAAACAUAGCCUAUGAUAUCCUAGGUGACUUCUGCCCAGUGGUUUUUAACGGCCGCAGUAUCCUGACUGUGCUAAGGUAGCAUAAUCAUUUGUUGUUUAAUUGACAACUAGUAUGAAAGAAUAUACAUGAUUUCUCUUAUCUCUCUCUUUAAUGUAAAUUAAUACAAUAGUAAAAAAGCUAUUAUUCCUUAGAGGGACGACAAGACCCUGUAAAACUUUAUCUCAAGCAAGCUUCAAGCAACAGCAAGAGAUUUGGCUGGGGCGGCUAUAAUUAACAAAAACAAUCUAGAAAAUAACUCAGUGUGAGAUUUAAAACUACCUUUGUAUAUAUUUGAACUAAAGUUACUUCAGGGAUAACAGCGUAAUAAAAUUUCAGAGACCUAAUCGUUAAUUUAUUUUACGACCUCGAUGUUGAAUUGAGAGAUCUUUUUGUGGCAGCAUGCAAAUAAGUAAGUCUGUUCGACUUUUAAAAUCUC